RNAcentral lists this long non-coding RNA (223 nucleotides) under Hordeum vulgare. RNAcentral describes it as "long non-coding RNA (HVUL_LNC020403)". The record is from RNAcentral. Lineage: Eukaryota; Viridiplantae; Streptophyta; Magnoliopsida; Poales; Poaceae.
AUAGAUUGAUAAAUAAAGCUCAGUAUUUCAUCAUGAUAGAUAAUCUGUACGUAAACCCUGUAAUUUAUUUCAUACAUAUUGCAACGCAUGGACUCUUCUGCUAAAACGUCAACUUUUAUUACAGCUGGCAUUUGUACUAGUACUCUAAUAAACUCACAUAAGCGUAUUAAUCUCGGGCACGGAUCGGUUCCAUUUCACAGUCGUAUCCAUCAUCACCCCGCUG